AAUGGUUCUGCUAUCACUCUUGGGAUGGACCUGCGGUGCAUUAGCUAGUUGGUAGGGGUAACGGCCUACCAAGGCGAUGAUGCAUAGCCGAGUUGAGAGACUGAUCGGCACAUUGGGACUGAGACACGGCCCAAACUCCCACGGGAGGCAGCAGUAGGGAAUCUUCCACAAUGGACGCAAGUCUGAUGGAGCAACGCCGCGUGAGUGAAGAAGGGUUUCGGCUCGUAAAGCUCUGUUGUUGGGGAAGAAGGACAGGGGUAGUAACUAACCUUUGUUUGACGGUAAUCAAUUAGAAAGUCACGGCUAACUACGUGCCAGCAGCCGCGGUAAU
RNAcentral lists this ribosomal RNA (331 nucleotides) under uncultured Lactobacillus sp. RNAcentral's name for it is "bacterial SSU rRNA". It matches the Rfam family "Bacterial small subunit ribosomal RNA", at positions 202 to 524 of the family's 1533-position model. Lineage: Bacteria; Bacillati; Bacillota; Bacilli; Lactobacillales; Lactobacillaceae. The record is from RNAcentral.